This 293-nucleotide ribosomal RNA is filed under the name uncultured Rhizophagus. Its description in RNAcentral is "partial small subunit ribosomal RNA". It matches the Rfam family "Eukaryotic small subunit ribosomal RNA", at positions 569 to 864 of the family's 1831-position model. Lineage: Eukaryota; Fungi; Glomeromycota; Glomeromycetes; Glomerales; Glomeraceae. The record is from RNAcentral.
AGCAGCCGCGGUAAUUCCAGCUCCAAUAGCGUAUAUUAAAGUUGUUGCAGUUAAAAAGCUCGUAGUUGAAUUUCGGGGUUAGUAGACGGCAGUGUAGACGCCGGCAUUCACUAGGUUUACUGAUUCCUCCUUCCUGAUGAACUGUAAUGCCAUUGAUUUGGUGUUGCAGGGAAUCUGGACUGUUACUUUGAAAAAAUUAGAGUGUUUAAAGCAGGCUAACGCUUGAAUACAUUAGCAUGGAAUAAUGAAAUAGGACGUUCGAUCCUAUUUUGUUGGUUUCUAGGAUUGACGUA